AGUGAACGCUGGCGGUAGGCCUAACACAUGCAAGUCGAACGGCAGCACAGUAAGAGCUUGCUCUUACGGGUGGCGAGUGGCGGACGGGUGAGGAAUACAUCGGAAUCUACUUUUUCGUGGGGGAUAACGUAGGGAAACUUACGCUAAUACGCAUACGACCUACGGGUGAAAGCAGGGGAUCUUCGGACCUUGCGCGAUUGAAUGAGCCGAUGUCGGAUUAGCUAGUUGGCGGGGUAAAGGCCCACCAAGGCGACGAUCCGUAGCUGGUCUGAGAGGAUGAUCAGCCACACUGGAACUGAGACACGGUCCAGACUCCUACGGGAGGCAGCAGUGGGGAAUAUUGGACAAUGGGCGCAAGCCUGAUCCAGCCAUACCGCGUGGGUGAAGAAGGCCUUCGGGUUGUAAAGCCCUUUUGUUGGGAAAGAAAAGCAGCAGGUUAAUACCCCGCUGUUCUGACGGUACCCAAAGAAUAAGCACCGGCUAACUUCGUG
Molecule: ribosomal RNA, 491 nt
Filed under: uncultured bacterium
Lineage: Bacteria
Description: partial 16S ribosomal RNA
Rfam family: Bacterial small subunit ribosomal RNA
Source: RNAcentral